RNAcentral lists this ribosomal RNA (163 nucleotides) under uncultured bacterium. RNAcentral describes it as "partial 16S ribosomal RNA". It matches the Rfam family "Bacterial small subunit ribosomal RNA", at positions 393 to 539 of the family's 1533-position model. The record is from RNAcentral.
CAUGCCGCGUGUGUGAAGAAGGCCUUAGGGUUGUAAAGCACUUUAAGCAGGGAAGAACCGACGUUGGACUAAUACUCCUUCGUCCUGACGGUACCUGCAGAAUAAGCACCGGCUAACUCCGUGCCAGCACCUGCGGUGACUGAGCGGGCUGGCAAGGCGCAUA